Neocloeon triangulifer is the source of this 1063-nucleotide RNA transcript. RefSeq lists it as uncharacterized. The transcript has 5 exons. NCBI's taxonomy places the organism in Eukaryota, Metazoa, Arthropoda, Insecta, Ephemeroptera, Baetidae. The record is from RefSeq and is a predicted model, not a curated record.
ACUUGGGCUGCAAGUUAUUUUUAAGAUGGGUCGCUUUUUGUUUCUCCUCUCCAUUCUCGUCAUCGUAGAAGCCCAGAAAAUCGAUCAACCAGCCCAGGUAAAUCAGACGUCCUGCGAUUUGGCCCGUUCAGCAAAUCUAACAACGGCAAACAGUACUAUUUUUCUCCAGUCAAAUCGUUUGAUCAGAAAAACUACACAAAUGCGAACAAGAGUUGCGUCGAGAUGGGCCUCCAUUUUUUCAGCGUGAGGAACCAAAAAGAGCUGGAAAUUCUGCAUAUGCAGGCAGCAGUGAUACUUGAUGAUGUCUUGCCGUGGUGGGUGUCGGCCAGAAACUACGGAAAAGAUGACGAUCAUUUGGACUUCCGUUGGCAGGACGGAUCGAAAUUUGAGGAAAAUAGUAGGUUGUGGGCUCCGGACCCUGCCUGCAGUACCAGAAGAGCCUGCGUCGAAAUUGGAACGACUGAUUUAAGAAAACUCUUUUGCGGCACUUGCCUUUUCCCUAAAAACUAUAUUUGCGAGUUGCCUCCAGAAUGUUACUGAAAAAAACAUUCGAAAUUUUUAAUUUGAUUAUUUUGCUACACUUUACUCUCAUGAUUCUUGCUGUGUAACACGAUUUAGUAAUUUAAGAUAUUAAUCAUAGUUGGAUUAGUAGACAACAAUUAUACUGAUGAUUCGAGACAAAACUUUUAUUAUGUAAUUUGGCGUUUGUUUGUUUUCAAAUUUUCGUAUCGAGCACAAAGGGCGGUGAGAUUGACCUGAUAACAAUUCAUUGUCAGUGCAUUCAUCAAGAGACGAUGGACCGAUUUUGGAUGUCGUGUGUGGCCAUCCUCCACGCAGAAACCAAUAUACUGAUUCACAAAAACAAUUUAGCCUUAAAUAAAAAAUUCCCUAAAUAAAGUAAAAAUUUUGGUAUAUUAUCUACCCAACGUGUGCAGCCUAACCAGUUAAGUAAAUGGAAUAUUAGACAAUUUUGAAAUAGCGUGUGCAGCUUUUGUGGAUUCACACUGUAUGUUACUAAUUCUAUUUUUAUUUUAUUAAAUAAAUUUUAAAAUACAUGAGUUGU